Molecule: ribosomal RNA, 400 nt
Filed under: phytoplankton environmental sample
Lineage: Eukaryota
Description: partial small subunit ribosomal RNA
Rfam family: Eukaryotic small subunit ribosomal RNA
Source: RNAcentral
AGCUCCAAUAGCGUAUAUUAAAGUUGUUGCAGUUAAAAAGCUCGUAGUUGGAUUUGUGGUGUACGCAAGGCGUCCGUCCCGCUUGGGUUUCGGUGUUGCCUGGCGUUGCCAUCCUUGGGUGGAAUCUGUGUGGCAUUAGGUUGUCGUGCAGGGGAUGCCCAUCGUUUACUGUGAAAAAAUUAGAGUGUUCAAAGCAGGCUUAUGCCGUUGAAUAUGUUAGCAUGGAAUAAUAAGAUAGGACCUUGGUACUAUUUUGUUGGUUUGCGCACCGAGGUAAUGAUUAAUAGGGACGGUUGGGGGUAUUCGUAUUCCAUUGUCAGAGGUGAAAUUCUUGGAUUUUUGGAAGACGAACUACUGCGAAAGCAUUUACCAAGGAUGUUUUCAUUAAUCAAGAACGAAA